Molecule: ribosomal RNA, 226 nt
Filed under: uncultured bacterium
Lineage: Bacteria
Description: partial 16S ribosomal RNA
Rfam family: Bacterial small subunit ribosomal RNA
Source: RNAcentral
GCGUUGUUCGGAUUCAUUGGGCGUAAAGGGUGCGUAGGUGGCGGGGUAAGUCAGGUGUGAAAUUUCGGAGCUUAACUCCGAAACUGCAUUUGAUACUGCCUUGCUUGAGGACUGGAGAGGAGACUGGAAUUCACGGUGUAGCGGUGAAAUGCGUAGAUAUCGUGAGGAAGACCAGUGGCGAAGGCGGGUCACUGGACAGGUCCUGACACUGAGGCACGAAGGCGUG